UACGGGGGGGGCAAGCGUUGUUCGGAAUUACUGGGCGUAAAGGGCUCGUAGGCGGCCAACUAAGUCAGACGUGAAAUCCCUCGGCUUAGCCGGGGAACUGCGUCUGAUACUGGAUGGCUUGAGUUCGGGAGAGGGAUGCGGAAUUCCAGGUGUAGCGGUGAAAUGCGUAGAUAUCUGGAGGAACACCGGUGGCGAAGGCGGCAUCCUGGACCGACACUGACGCUGAGGAGCGAAAGCCAGGGGAGCAAACGGG
This 253-nucleotide ribosomal RNA is filed under the name uncultured bacterium. RNAcentral describes it as "partial 16S ribosomal RNA". It matches the Rfam family "Bacterial small subunit ribosomal RNA", at positions 524 to 776 of the family's 1533-position model. The record is from RNAcentral.